RNAcentral lists this ribosomal RNA (253 nucleotides) under uncultured Legionella sp. RNAcentral describes it as "partial 16S ribosomal RNA". It matches the Rfam family "Bacterial small subunit ribosomal RNA", at positions 524 to 776 of the family's 1533-position model. Lineage: Bacteria; Pseudomonadati; Pseudomonadota; Gammaproteobacteria; Legionellales; Legionellaceae. The record is from RNAcentral.
UACGGAGGGUGCGAGCGUUAAUCGGAAUUACUGGGCGUAAAGGGUGCGUAGGUGGUUUGAUAAGUUAUCUGUGAAAGUCCCGGGCUUAACCUGGGGAGGUCAGAUAAGACUGUUGAGCUAGAGUAUAGGAGAGGGUAGUGGAAUUUCCGGUGUAGCGGUGAAAUGCGUAGAGAUCGGAAGGAACACCAGUGGCGAAGGCGGCUACCUGGCCUAAUACUGACACUGAGGCACGAAAGCGUGGGGAGCAAACAGG